UGAUUGUGAUUGGUGAUUAUAGGCCAUGA
RNAcentral lists this small RNA (29 nucleotides) under Bombyx mori (domestic silkworm). RNAcentral's name for it is "ovarian small RNA-33156". The record is from RNAcentral. Lineage: Eukaryota; Metazoa; Arthropoda; Insecta; Lepidoptera; Bombycidae.